Equus quagga is the source of this 691-nucleotide long non-coding RNA. RefSeq lists it as uncharacterized. The record is from RefSeq and is a predicted model, not a curated record. The transcript has 3 exons. NCBI's taxonomy places the organism in Eukaryota, Metazoa, Chordata, Mammalia, Perissodactyla, Equidae.
ACCUUGCCACAUUCCCAUGAACAGGUGGAAUUUAUUUCUCCAUGUCCUUCAAUUCUGUCUGGCUCUAUGAGUGCUCAAACCAAUUGAAUAUGGCUAAAGUGUCACUGUGCUAGUCCCACGUGUGGCCCUUAACUGGCUGGAAACUUCUGUCUCCUGCCUCCUGUAACACCUGCUCUUGUGAUGGUGACUCACAGAACGCUGACUCCCCUAGCUGUUGGGCUGUGAGAAGUUCAAGACACAUGGAGAGGCCAUAAGGGGGCGCUCUGGUCCACUGCCUCAGCAUCAGUUGCCAUUCAUGGGAGUGAGCCAUCCUGGAUGCCCAGCCCACUGAGCCUACAGAUGACUUCAGACCCAGCUGAUACUGGACUGCAACCAUACAAGACACUGGUAAUCAACCUGGUAGUAGGAGUUAGGAUGGAGUGUGGUUGGCGGAUGAUAGGACUCAGAAAUAAAAUCGCUGAAAUGGAUUCCUGCUUUGAAUAAUACAGGGAAACAGACCCGGGCCCCGGCGGUGAGAGCACUGAAUCUUAACCACUGACCAAUAUGGCUGGCUUUAAAAACGUUUCCUAAGCACUUCUGAUGUGGGUAACCAAAACCUGAACAUAACCCACGCAGCCCCUCCAGGAAGAUCUCCAUCCACUAGGGGAAUCAGACACUGCUUUAAAUCAUUGUCGACACAAUAAAAUAUGGA